UUUGGGUCUGAUACGUAUCAGUCCAAUGAUACUUCUGAUACCCAAUAUCAUAUGAUGUGGCAUGUGCUGAUUGGUCUUCAAUCUCGUUUUGCCGAAAGACAAAAAAAAAAAAAAAAAAUCAUUUUUGUCUCUCCUCUCCACUCUCCCGUGAAAACCAGAAAACCCUAGACGGCGAUUUCGAUUUCUCCUCUCCUCCGCCGAUUCUUCCUUGCCGAUCCUGCCUUCGCUCCCUCCGCUUCUCCUCCGGCUUCAUCUCUUCGAUCUAUUUCACUUCUCCAUUUCUUCUGUGUAGAUUCGUGAACAUCUCUCCUCCGCUGUCUAGAGUUUUCCGCCUCUUUCUCAACUCUCUCUCUCGAAAAUUAGAUUUUUCAAGAAGCAGAGUGUGGAAGAACGCGAGCACGCUAAGCUGUUGAUGGAGUAUCAGAACAAACGUGGUGGGAGAGUCAAGUUACAGCCCAUGGUGCUGCCACAGUCUGAGUUUGAUCAUCCUGAGAAAGGUAAUGAUCUCUAUGCCAUAUAGUGAUUGUUGGUGUUUGUAGCCACGGCCUGUGAAUGCUAUUUUGGAUUAACAGUUCACAUGCCAUGGAGGUUGCUAUAAAGAUUCUGCAGUUAUUGGUUAGUAAGCUUGAUGGUGAGAGCAUGAAUAUAGAACGCUUCUUAGAACUGUCCUUUUGGUGGUGAGUCUACUUACUUGGUCAUUUUUGUUUUCUUUUUGCAAUAUAAUUACUAAAGCAUCAAUGCUGAAGUUGGAAUCCAAAUGCAUUGUUAUUUUAUUUAUUCAGGUUGUAUGGUCACAAUGUAUUAUUCGGAUGUACCUUUGUUAUUUUUUUUUUUGGUGAAUGUAGUACCUUUGUUAUUUUGUAUGGUCACAAUGUAUUAUUCGGAUGUGGAUUUCUAUUAUAUAUAUAAGUCUUUGUCUUCUCAUA
Molecule: RNA transcript, 926 nt
Organism: Arabidopsis lyrata subsp. lyrata
Lineage: Eukaryota; Viridiplantae; Streptophyta; Magnoliopsida; Brassicales; Brassicaceae
Exons: 5
Source: RefSeq, a predicted model, not a curated record